UACGUAGGGUGCGAGCGUUAAUCGGAAUUACUGGGCGUAAAGCGUGCGCAGGCGGCUUCUCAAGUCAGGGGUGAAAGCCCAGAGCUCAACUCUGGAAUUGCCUUUGAGACUGAGUGGCUUGAGUACGAGAGAGGUGAGUGGAAUUCCCAGUGUAGAGGUGAAACUCGUAGAUAUUGGGAAGAACACCGGUGGCGAAGGCGGCUCACUGGCUCGUAACUGACGCUCAUGCACGACAGCGUGGGGAUCAAACAGG
This 253-nucleotide ribosomal RNA is filed under the name uncultured bacterium. Its description in RNAcentral is "partial 16S ribosomal RNA". It matches the Rfam family "Bacterial small subunit ribosomal RNA", at positions 524 to 776 of the family's 1533-position model. The record is from RNAcentral.